Molecule: ribosomal RNA, 766 nt
Filed under: Phialophora verrucosa
Lineage: Eukaryota; Fungi; Ascomycota; Eurotiomycetes; Chaetothyriales; Herpotrichiellaceae
Description: eukaryotic LSU rRNA
Rfam family: Eukaryotic large subunit ribosomal RNA
Source: RNAcentral
UCCGAGUUGUAAUUUGUAGAGGAUGUUUUGGGUACCGCCCCGGUUUAAAUUUCUUGGAACAGAAUGUCAGAGAGGGUGAGAAUCCCGUCUUGGACCGGCGGUAGGGCCUGUGUAAAACUCCUUCGACGAGUCGAGUUGUUUGGGAAUGCAGCUCAAAAUGGGUGGUAAAUUUCAUCUAAAGCUAAAUAUUGGCCAGAGACCGAUAGCGCACAAGUAGAGUGAUCGAAAGAUGAAAAGAACUUUGAAAAGAGAGUUAAACAGUAUGUGAAAUUGUUGAAAGGGAAGCGCUUGCAACCAGACUUGAGCGCGACGGUUCCCCUAGCCUUUUGGCUAGGUUACUCCGUCGUGUCCAGGCCAACAUCGGUUCUGAGGGUCGGUCAAAGGCCCCGGGAAUGUACCUACCCACGGGUAGACUUAUAGACCGGGGUGUCAUGCGGCCUCUCGGGACCGAGGAACGCGCUUCGGCUCGGAUGUUGGCGUAAUGGUUGUCAGCGACCCGUCUUGAAACACGGACCAAGGAGUCUAACAUCUAUGCGAGUGUUUGGGUGUCAAACCCGGAACGCGGAAUGAAAGUGAACGGAGGUAGGAAGCUUCGGCUGCACUAUCGACCGAUCCUGAAGUUUACGGAUGGAUUUGAGUAAGAGCAUAGCUGUUGGGACCCGAAAGAUGGUGAACUAUGCCUGAAUAGGGUGAAGCCAGAGGAAACUCUGGUGGAGGCUCGCAGCGGUUCUGACGUGCAAAUCGAUCGUCAAAUUUGGGUAUAGGG